Long non-coding RNA from Sander lucioperca (pikeperch), 3003 nucleotides. RefSeq lists it as uncharacterized. Lineage: Eukaryota; Metazoa; Chordata; Actinopteri; Perciformes; Percidae. The transcript has 2 exons. The record is from RefSeq and is a predicted model, not a curated record.
AAUCCAACAUGGCUGCUCCGUGCAUCAACAGUAGUGACAGCUGUAGUAACAUACAGUACAUUUUAUUUGCACUUCUGUCUUAUUUGUGUUUCAUUAAACCAGCCGUACACACAGGCCUGUUCAACGUUUAUCUGUGGACAUGUUGCUACGCAGUUUGUAUGCACAAAAAAACAGCGUAAUGCAUUGUUAUCAACUGGUAUUGCUCACAAUGGCUAACCUGGCUAGAGCUAACCCCACUGUUUGAAAUCUGACUUGUUUUAAUGGAAUGGGGUCAACUCGGGUGUGACGUUAACUCACAGCUCCGAGUUCAGAGGUAAAUGGAACGCACAACUAGCUACAAACGCACAUACUUGAUAGUAGAUACAUGUAUUGUUGGUUUGGUUCUGCACAUAAGAUUUGGUGACAAUCAGAAAAAUGUAGAAUACAACUUUUUAAAGUGAAAUUCUGUGUUUAUACGAUCCGUUUUUUUUAAAAACCUGUUGGUUAUGUGUGUGGUAACAUGUAACGAGGAAAAUAGCACACAGCGUGCAGGUGAAAAGCAAACUGAAUGUGGGUUCCUCCACUGAAGUGUGUUCUUACCAAUAUAACGGGUGUGUCACACAGGAGCCAUGUUAACAUAUUUCCAGUCAUGACAGCAAAAGUUGUGUUCAUAUAGUUAUUCUCUUUAAGUGUUUUUUUUGUUUUUUUUUGUAGGCUUAGUUUGUGUAAAGGAUCAUUUUCAUUAAUUAGGUCUUAUUUUUGUCAUUUUGCCCAUCGUUCCUACCAGUUACGUUAUCAUAACCAAUAGGAUUGAGGGCCAUGACUAUCACAGACGACAGAGGUUGUAACGAAACAGAAUUGUCCUUUUGUUUUCUGGCUCCACUCUCUAAAUGUUCUAAUAAUCCUGAGGUGUUGUCGUAAACACCCCUCUCAGUAUAUUAUUACAAUAAUUUGAACUACACUUGAUGUUUUAAAAUAUUUGUUUUUAAUUUUCUCAUAAAGGCAGAGUUGUACUGUUUGGAAGUUAUUCCUAUAUCUGUGAUUGGCCCAUCUUUCAGUGGGCCCAGUGGGGAUGGACUGCAUUGUGGAUUGUGAAUAUUGAACCAAAGACAUUUUGAGAUUUGCAUCACGGCCUUGUUUACAUAUUAGCCAUGCAUAUGUACCACAAGUGGACUGAUGUACCAGACGAGAUGGAAAUGUCAAGUCUGUCUUAUGCAAUUUAACACAGUGCAACUGAGAGUCACACGCCAUGUAGUUUUCCUCCCAGACAGCAGGAAGCAGCCACUGAGAUGGGGCGGGGGGCGGGGGUGUAAGAGUUCAGCAGUGAGUUUGGAACUUGACAUUGUUCUGCUGGUACUACUGACUGGUACUACUGUUGGGACUGAAAUUCCAAGGCAACUAGAAUAAAUGGAAUUUUAGACAAUGGUACAUGCUUUUAUAAUGUUUAAUCAUUUUGAAUGUGUGGUUAUUACUGAUGUUGGUGAUCUAAAUUUGAUCUCUGUUUGAAAUGGCAUCUUAGGCAAGAUGAGCAGCCUCUGCUAGAGUGAUGGAGGUCAGUAAAGGUAAAGAGCAGGAUCACAUAUGAAUGCUCUGCCUGCAUGUGGUGCUUUGUUCAACUUGGUUAAGCCCAGGUCAGACCAAAGAUUCGUGACAAGACGAAACCGUUUUAGAACGUCGCAGGGAAAAGUUGCUGUGGUCUGAACCGGCCCCGUCUCAGCUGGACUCAAACCAGCUGAUGGCGUCACUGCGACUCAGCUGGUGAAGUCUCCAGAGGCUGGUUUUAGAACAAAAGGGACGUCCCCUGUUUCAACAGCCAAUAGAGAAGUCGGCUGGUCAAGUCAGCUACAAACUCUAGAAAUAAAAUGAUCCAUAAUCUGUUUUAUUUCUAUGUUACAAACUGCCAUCUGGUCGAAACGGCAGAGUUUUAGACGGAGGCUCAACAAGCGCACACGAGCGAGCUAGAGAGUGACUGAAGAGAGGGAGCGGCGAUAGAACAAAUCAUGAAUUGCAUAAAUAAAACGUUUUUGCCUAUUCAGCACUAGAAAUGCAGCUGUAGCAAGCACUACUUAGUAUCAUUCACAUUCAUGUUUAGACACAACAAAAAGCCUGGAAGUCGGAAAUUAGAACAAAAGUACAAAGAGUUGUUCCAUUGGAGAUGAUACACCGUCUCGUCGCAUUGGUGUGAACUGGAAGGUCUUUGGUCUGGACUGGGCUUUAAAAUGUCAUUUAAUUUAAGCAAAGUGCAGUUUUGAGAGUAUUCUUUAGCACCAUGGUCACAGUGGGUCCAUACCUCAGGUUUCAGGUCAGGGAUUGCAGUCUAGCAACGCGCUGUAUAAACAUGGUUUUCUUGAUGAAGUGGAAAGAUGUUUUUUUUUUUUCUAUCUCAACUUGCCUUCAUUUGACAUAGUCCAGAUCGACUUGGAAAUCAGACAAAUCAUUUAGUGUCGGUCGAGCAAAUGCACAAACCUCUUAUGGCUAUGCUCACACAUAGGGUUGGGGUUUGAUAGCAUUUUAUUGAAUCUGAAUCCAGAAUUGACUCCACUCUUUGAAUCCAAAUAUUUUUCGUAUACAUCAGCUUUCAAGAUUUGUAACCAAAUUUAAAAAAAAUAAUCCAAACUUUAACUUUAAAUGACAAGUGUAAUCUACUUACUUUGCUUUUGGGGAGGGGAAAGUCCAAAUAUUCUGGAACUAGAUCCAAAACAGGCACAGUAAUCAGAACCCAACUCUACUCACACCAAUAAUACAGAGUGCAGGGUUUCCUCCAGAAAAGCCCGGUGGCAAGUGUCUUUUUUUUCAAUAAGGGCCCUGCUGGGGACUAGACACAGACUGAAGGCAGCAUUAAUGUAGAGCCCAAUAGUUUCUGUGAUGACAGAAUCAUAGAUGGAAUCAGGAAAUUGAGAAUUUCAAAAAGCUAUAAGACAGAUUCCAUAUGGCCCUACAUUAAGUCAGCGCUAAAAGCCAACUGGAGAUGUCAAAAUAUGACUGUUUCCAACCGAGCCGUCCCACUGUAUGCAGUUAAAAAAA